RNAcentral lists this long non-coding RNA (3133 nucleotides) under Homo sapiens (human). RNAcentral's name for it is "HSALNT0072777". The record is from RNAcentral. Lineage: Eukaryota; Metazoa; Chordata; Mammalia; Primates; Hominidae.
GGAAAAUCAGCCGUGCUGUCUUUUGGGCUCUCAGUAUUUUGAGGCAGACUCCUCUGUCAGCUCAAGUGUCCAUAGGGGAUGUGGAAUCUCUUGAAAUUAGGAUCCCAGAGGUUUAUGGAGAGAGAGAGCUGACCCACCAUUCCAUCGCACACAAGUUCCCUAGGAGGAGUUCGGGAAUGGAUACUAACCCUGACAUUUGGCAACCCCGUGCAGGGUUCUCAGCUUCCUCCCUCUUCUUCAGCCUCAGUGUCUACAUUGUCUUUGUAAUGAUUCUUGGUUUUCUUUCUCCAAAGACGUGUUUUUAAAAUGUUGCUUUGCUCAAUUUUAGUCUCUUUUCCAUGAGAAUGCUGCUUUCUGGCUGCAUCUAUUUGGCUAUAUUGUCCCCUAUCUCAAAGAAUUGCUUCUUAUAGAUGAGCCAAUAAAGUGGUUUCUUGAGAUGAAAUCUACUCCCGGUGAAGAUGGUGUAAAAUUGUUGAAAUGACAAGAAAGGACUUAGAAUAUUACCUAAACUUAGAUGACAAAUCAGCAGGAGGGUUUGAGAUGAUUGACUCCAACUUCGAAAGAAGUUCUACUGUAAGUCUAGUGCUGUGAAACUGCAUUUAAUGCUACAAAUAUAUAUUUCAUAAAAGGAAGAAUCAGUGGAUCAGAAAACUUCAUUGUUGUCUUAUAUUUUAAGAAAUUGGCACAGCCACGACAACCUUCAGCAACCACCACCCUGAUCAGUUAGCAGCCAGCAAUAUUGAGACAAAACCCUCCACCAGUGAAAAGAUUAAUACUUGCUGAAGGCUUAGAUUAUCAUUAGCAUUUUUAAUCCAUAAGGUGUUUUUAAUAGACUUGCUACAUUGCAAUAUUUGCUUUAACAUUGUGGUCUGGAACCAAACCAUAUCUCCAAGAUAUGUCUGUAGAUACUUAAAUUUAAAAUUACAUAAUUUGUUUUUAGCUAGUGGGAAUAUCAAAAAUAUUCUCCAGUGUCACCUCAUGUCUCUAUUAUUAAAGUCUCUCUAUACACCUGAGAAGAGGGAUGAUCAGCUAUAAUUCAUUUCUUUUCCUCUUACCAUUUACUGGUUACUGCAGCAGCAUUUGGAUUAUUUCCUAUUCUUUCUGUGAUUUUCAAGGUGGUGAUGCAGGGCUUUGGAAUUUUACUGUUCCCCACUCAGCAUCACCCCCCAUUGAUCUCUUUCCAUUUCUUUGCAAGAACAAUAAAAACAACAAUGAUUUCAUGCAUGCUCAUCGUAUGCAAAUUUAAGUGUAUGGCAAACAUUAUCUCUUUUAAUUUUACAAAUAUCAGUGAGGGAGGAUCUUUGUUUAUCAAUGAAACUAGUUUGUAGGUAAAAAACAGAUGAUCAUCAAGGUUACAUAAUAUGUCUCAUGUCACAUAACUAGUAAGAGAAUGCUCUGACCAUCACAGGCAGGUCUCUCGAAUUCUAAAUUACCAUGUUCCCUUUUAUUCCCAGAGCUCUUGUGUGAGUAUCAACUUUGUCAGGGAUUGAGGUUAAACAUUACCUGAAAAGAUACAAGAUUUUUCUCAGCCUUGGGAGGAUAAUCAAUGUCAGUAUCAUAAAUCCUCAAAGAAUGACGUAGUAUAUACACUUAUAUCGUAUAAUUUAUGAAUAACUAAUAGGUAGAUACAGUUUAACAUUUAAAGGGAUAGUAAUAAGAGGGAAAUCAAAAGAAGGGAAUAAUACAGUUUAAUGUUUUUGCAUGACACUUUUCUACUGAACUUCAUAAAAAUUUAUGAUUAGUUAUAGCAUUAGAAAAUGUUGGAUUCUAUCUAAACACUUUAAGUUAUUAAAGACAAGGAGUAAAAUUUCUCUCUAUAUAAUUGGUUAGUAGCCAAUGUUUUAAUUCAUUACUAAUAAAAUUUUAUUCAAUUACUAUAAAUGGUAGCAAUAUUUGACAAAAUAUAUUUUUCAUAAAGAAAUAAGUUCAACUGAAAAUCUCUCCUUAAGACUAUUUUCUAAGAUGCCUUUUCUACUCUAGAGCUAUUUCAGAAAUUUAUUUAAACUUUGUAAAUCCAGGGUAAAAGCUUUUAAAAUAUGUUAGCUGUUGAAAUAGUAUUCUGUAGGAAGGCAGGCAUAUUAUUAUAUUUAAAAUUAUUGUCUGAAGAGAUGUAAAAUAAGAUACAUCUUGAACAGUGAUAGAAAGCUGACAUCCAGAAAAAUAGGUACAUGCAAUCAGAGUUUGUUGUAAUAAAGAAUGACAAAAUUUCUAUACACCAAAGCCAUUCAUUGAACAAAAGUAAAUCAUUUCUGAAUAGAUAUUGAUUAAAGUACAAAGCAUAAAACUGACACGUCAAUAAAGGUCAGAAUGAAACUAUUAUAGGAAAUAGUUGACAUGACAUGGUGAUAUGUUGGACCAAUAAGAAACAUAAUGAAAUAUAAAUGGAAUACAAUGGAGCGGAAAAAUGAAAUGUUGAAAACAUAUGCAGUGAUCAAAAAUAGGAAAGACUGCAAUAAAGAAGAAAAAUUCUGGAAGAGUGUUUUAAAAGGAGGUGCUGGUGGCUUUUAACCAAAUUGAGUACAGAUAAAUCCAUCCGAGGGUAUAUGGGAUUAAUGGAUCUGUCUAUACAGAGCGGAGCAUGAGUGAAUUCAUGGCUGUUGAUCAUGAUAUUCAGGACUGCCAAGUUCCUUUGUGGCUUGUAACAGAGAAUCUGUGCCUGUAUAAUGUAUCAGAGUGGGCAUAGACUGCCAAAGAGAAUGCCUAAGAUAACUCUGUGUAGAAGGAUGAAAUGCAACUUUUUUUGGUCUGUGAUUCUUAAUUGUUAAAUGUGUAUUUGCAGCUAAAGUAAUUACAAAUCGGAAUCCCUGUUUUUGUUAUUGUUUUCUUAAUGUAUGGUCACUAAAACUUAAUAAAGCUAUACUAUCUGUGCAAUACUAUCUUACAUUGAGCAUUUUUCUUUACUCCAAAAUAUUUCCCAUCAAUAAAAACAACAAACAAAAUAUGUAUAAGACCUUUCUUUCACCUCCCUUCUUAAUAGCAAACCAAACUUUUUGGAGUGGUUUAUUCAGGUUUUAUGCUUCUUUCUGCAUGACCCGUGCUUUUCAGAAGACUUAACUUGCCUAAUGUUAGUUUGCUUACUGAGUUUUCAGAAUUUUGGUCUGUGGUUAGUGUCUAAUAAAUGUGCUUUGAAUUC